RNAcentral lists this ribosomal RNA (425 nucleotides) under uncultured bacterium. RNAcentral describes it as "bacterial SSU rRNA". It matches the Rfam family "Bacterial small subunit ribosomal RNA", at positions 354 to 796 of the family's 1533-position model. The record is from RNAcentral.
GUGGGGAAUAUUGGACAAUGGGCGAAAGCCUGAUCCAGCCAUGCCGCGUGAGUGAUGAAGGCCCUAGGGUUGUAAAGCUCUUUCACCGGGGAAGAUAAUGACGGUACCCGGAGAAGAAGCCCCGGCUAACUUCGUGCCAGCAGCCGCGGUAAUACGAAGGGGGCUAGCGUUGUUCGGAAUUACUGGGCGUAAAGCGCACGUAGGCGGAUCAGUCAGUUAGGGGUGAAAUCCCAGGGCUCAACCCUGGAACUGCCUUUAAUACUGCUGAUCUAGAGUUCGAGAGAGGUGAGUGGAAUUCCGAGUGUAGAGGUGAAAUUCGUAGAUAUUCGGAGGAACACCAGUGGCGAAGGCGGCUCACUGGCUCGAUACUGACGCUGAGGUGCGAAAGCGUGGGGAGCAAACAGGAUUAGAAACCCCGGUAGUCC